Long non-coding RNA from Mugil cephalus (flathead mullet), 1116 nucleotides. RefSeq lists it as uncharacterized. The record is from RefSeq and is a predicted model, not a curated record. The transcript is spliced from 2 exons. Lineage: Eukaryota; Metazoa; Chordata; Actinopteri; Mugiliformes; Mugilidae.
GCCACGAUGGUUUCCAGGACUUCACGUGAAGAGGAGGAUCUUCGUGCUACAGAAACCACGGGGAGGACACGGCCCCCCCCGCGCCUGCUACCACAGGACCCACCCUGAUGAUCCAGGCCCCCGACAACGGGUGGGAUUCGAACCAAACUCCUGCGACUUCCAGCCGCGGUUGAACCACCACACGCCACCGAGAACCCUUCACGCUUGGACCUUCUCUCUGAGCGCUUUUGUCAUCGUCACUUUGGAAUCUGGACUUUAAAAGUCACGACUGUCAUAGGAUUUGAACCCAUGACUUCAAAAAUUUCAACCACUCAUUCAACUCUCUGAGCUAUUUAACUGCAGGUUUCUAGUCUUUCACUGACAUUUUCCAUCUGUUUCUUUGGGUGUUGAUCUUCAAAAGUCACGACUGUCAUAAGAGUUGAACCCAUGACUUCACACUCACCAUAGACUCUUCUAACAGUCUGAGCUAUUUGUCCACAUGUUUUUGGUCUUUCUUUGAGCUUUUCAGCCUCUACUUUGAGUGUUGGACUCUAAAAUUCAAAGACUACGAUAAGAUUUGAACCCACGUCUUCAGAACCUCCAAUAAGUCCUCUACCAGCCUGAGCUAUCGGACCACACAUGUUCUCACUCUUCCUGGAGCUUUUCUGUUUGUUUCUGUGGUUGAUUAAAUCUAAAAGUUCUCAUGGGGGAUUGAACACAUGUCUCCAGAACAUUAACGAACUGACCUAACACCUUAGGCCACCAGAGAUAAGCUGCAAUGUUCAGAUUAUAUCAGGGUUUUUUAGUCUUUUCUCUGGCUGUUGGACAUUAAAAUAAAAAGUAAACUGUCCAAGGAUCAAACCAACAACCUCCCAGUCUUUAGAGGAAGACUCUAACCACUUGAGCCACUGAACCAGAGACAUCAACAUGUCUACUUUUACAUCUUUUCAGUCUUUCAUCUUGGUAUUAAUAUUUAAAAUGGACAGAACCAUCCAGGGCUUGAACCCAAACCUUCAGAACCUCUGAGGAAAGACUUAACAUCAUGAGCCACGACCCCAGCGAUGUUGAGAUGCUUUAAACUUUAAAAGCAUUUUAGUUUUUCCUCUGUCACUUAGAGAAUAAAAUGUAGAAAGCAGA